Molecule: ribosomal RNA, 403 nt
Filed under: uncultured bacterium
Lineage: Bacteria
Description: partial 16S ribosomal RNA
Rfam family: Bacterial small subunit ribosomal RNA
Source: RNAcentral
GACGAACGCUGGCGGCGUGCCUAAUACAUGCAAGUCGAACGCAGUGGGGACGGGUGAGUAACACGUGGGUAACCUCCCAUCAGAGGGGAUAACACUUGGAAACAGGUGCUAAACCGAUACUGAUGGAUGGACCCGCGGGGCAUUAGCUAGUUGGUGGGGUAACGGCGCACCAAGGCCACGAUGAAUAGCCGGCUGGUGCGGUGGAUCGGCCACACUGGGACUGAGACACGGCCCAGACUCCUACGGGAGGCAGCAGUAGGGAAUCUUGCGCAAUGGACGCAAGUCUGACCGAGCAACGCCGCGUGGGUGAAGAAGGUUUUCGGAUCGUAAAACUCUGUUGUUGGAGAGGCGGUAUCUAACCAGAAAGCCACGGCUAACUACGUGCCAGCAGCCGCGGUAAUAC